Molecule: non-coding RNA, 239 nt
Rfam family: Bacterial large subunit ribosomal RNA
UCCGAGCAGUGUGGAUAAUGAUCAACGUCACUUUCUAACUCUAAAUUAUAUGCCGGUCGUAAGGUACGCCGGGGAUAACAGGUCAGAUACUAGUGGGAGUUCUAAUCGUCGGAUGGUAUCAGCACCUCCAUGUCAGCUCAUUAAUCCCUUGUUACUGAACAAGAUUCAGUUAGGAACGAUAGGUCACCGUCAGAUGUAAUACGUGAGCUGGGUUAAGAACGUCUGGAGACAGUUUGUUC